UUUCGCAAUGCCCGAAAGGGUGACGAAGCGACGCCGCGUGAGCGAAGAAGGCCUUAGGGUUGUAAAGCUCUGUCGAGGGUUAUGAAACGUAGAUGAGUUAAUACCUCAUUUAUUUGACAAAGGCCCCAAAGGAAGUCACGGCUAACUCUGUGCCAGCAGCCGCGGUAAUACAGAGGUGGCAAGCGUUGUUCGGUAUUAUUGGGCGUAAAGAGCACGUAGGUGGUUUUGUAAGUCAGGUAUGAAAGCCUUCUGUUCAAAGGAAGAACGGCAUCUGAAACUACAGAUCUUGAGUGUAGGAGGGGAGAGUGGAACUUCUGGUGGAGCGGUGAAAUGCGUAGAUAUCAGAAGGAACGUCGGCGGCGAAAGCGACUCUCUGGCCUAUUACUGACACUGAGGUGCGAAAGUUAGGGGAGCAAACGGGAUUAGAUACCCCGGUAGUCCUAACCGUAAACGAUGGGCACUAAGUAGAGGGGUUUUA
This 478-nucleotide ribosomal RNA is filed under the name uncultured anaerobic ammonium-oxidizing bacterium. RNAcentral describes it as "bacterial SSU rRNA". It matches the Rfam family "Bacterial small subunit ribosomal RNA", at positions 364 to 833 of the family's 1533-position model. The record is from RNAcentral.